This 498-nucleotide ribosomal RNA is filed under the name Triticum aestivum (bread wheat). RNAcentral's name for it is "partial small subunit ribosomal RNA". Lineage: Eukaryota; Viridiplantae; Streptophyta; Magnoliopsida; Poales; Poaceae. The record is from RNAcentral.
CCACUACUCCGUGGAGUCAUUAAAGGCUUAGGCAUAUCGUGCUCUUGCACUUCAUGUAAAGGCCGAAAUGUUGUUUCAUCUUUUUAUUUCGAGGUGCCUGCUGGGAGUCAUAAAAAGCGCCCCACUGAUUAUAUUUUCCUGGAAAUUGGAAAUACUCUGCAUGAUGUAUUGAGGGUGUGCACAGGUGCUACCUUAGACACACUGGAAUCUGCAGUACAGGGAGCAAUAGGCCCAGUGCCUAAGAAGAGGACAUUUUUCUGGUUCUUCAUGAAUCAUUUGAUCUAUUAUCCAAGCUACGACCGGGCGAGACCUUAUUCCAGCCAUGGUCUACGGGAGGAGCGUAAGGGAUCAAGAUUAAUAAGGGAUGUACUGAAGCGUAGGAUCUUCUCAGGGCUCCAGAAUUUUGACCGGAGUAAUGUUGCAUCUAUUGUCAUGGCUGCAGAUAAGGUCACUGCUGAUCUUGUCAAUCGAGAAGUCUGCAAGCAGACAGCAGGGUUA